Long non-coding RNA from Ictalurus furcatus (blue catfish), 1124 nucleotides. RefSeq lists it as uncharacterized. The transcript has 4 exons. The record is from RefSeq and is a predicted model, not a curated record. Lineage: Eukaryota; Metazoa; Chordata; Actinopteri; Siluriformes; Ictaluridae.
CAUUCACAAAGCUGGAGAUUUUCUCACAAUAAAAGUGAGAAAACAGCUUUUUGUUAUGUCGAGAUCAUGAGAAAAUUAAGUCGUGAUCACGAGAAAACAACAGAAAAUAAAUCAAUAAUGCUUGGCCGCUUAGGGCUUCCGUAGUAUGUUCUUCGUGAUGUGAUGCUUUUGGUCCUGAUGCAGGCCGUGUUGUCGCUUUUUAUCCACUGAACGGCGCUACAUUUAACACAAGACUCGGUACCACGCAAAUCGCGUCAUAUCCGGUCUAUCAUUGGGAUUUGUUUGUUUUUAUUUUUACUAGGAGGAGAGUUUUCUGUGGCUGCACUGUUUUGGUCCGCGACAUCUUACGGGUCUAACAGUGCUUACGCCAAUGAAUGUCACCAGUAACGGAUGCACUGGCCGAUGAUGUUUAAGCGCCUGCGAGACCAUACACAGUGUUCCCACUGAAAGCUGUAGAGUCGAUUAGCUGCCGGUGUUGGCCACCAUUGACAGCUCGCUAGCCAGCUUGCUAACACGAUUAAUGCAAACUAUAAAGCAAGCCGAAGAUCACAGCUAGCUAGCAGGCCAGCUGUCCACCUGGACCGGAGACGAGGAAGAGCGCUUGCUAGCUAGCUAACUAACCCGGGAGUCCUCCGGUGUCCCAGCGAUAAUCAUCCGACAGUGUUUCCGUGUCUUUCUGAUCAUGGGAAACGCCGCUACUGCCAAGAAAGGCAACGAAUUAGAAAGCGAAUGGAGGAUGCCGUCUCAUUAAAGUCAGUCACUAAGGAAAAUGACUGAAGCAAAUGACGGCGUGCUAUCAAAACUAUAUUCUCAGCUCAAGUUCUGAACCUAGAGCAUACUCUGCUCUGAUUGGCCAGAUGCCCCAGUUUGUUCUGAUUGGUCUACCGCUGUCAGCGAGCGGCCGAUGAAGACCAGAGGCGGGGCUUUUUUGUUACAAACCUAUGUAGGUUAGUACAGGAAAACAACAAGGAAAAAAAAUGCAGAUUGUCAUGUUAGUGAGAAACCAGAAAGCCCCAAGUCCCCUGUCCUGAAGACUUUCCUGUUGUGGAAAAAUGAUCGCCUUCUACAAAGCAGUGACACCGGAGACUCCUUCCAUAAAUGUUAAAUAAAAGCUUCCUCAAUUG